This is a long non-coding RNA of Ostrea edulis (European flat oyster), 895 nucleotides long. RefSeq lists it as uncharacterized. The record is from RefSeq and is a predicted model, not a curated record. The transcript has 3 exons. NCBI's taxonomy places the organism in Eukaryota, Metazoa, Mollusca, Bivalvia, Ostreida, Ostreidae.
UAUUAAGUCUUCCCCGGAAGACAUGUGUCGCCUGCUAGUUCAUUCUAUAUGUAAUAUAUCACGUAUAAUGUUGAAAAAGUAAAUUAUUGAAAUGGUUUUUGUCACUAAACAGGAAGUUGAUAAGCGACAGAUUCGAAAAUGUCUUACACAAUACAGUUGGCCACACUGAUGCUCUGUGCCAAAUAUCAGGGAGUUGCCCCAUGUGGUUCUUGAGAAAACUGUGACAGAAAUUUGUUUGCUGUAAAAAAUUCUAAGUCCCGGCAAACAGGAAGUUGAUAAGCGACAGAUUCGAAAAUGUCUUACACAAUACAGUUGGCCACACUGAUGCUCUGUGCCAAAUAUCAGGGAGUUGCCCCAUGUGGUUCUUGAGAAAACUGUGACAGAAAUUUGUUUGCUGUAAAAAAUUCUAAGUCCCGGCAAACAGGAAGUUGAUAAGCGACAGAUUCGAAAAUGUCUUACACAAUACAGUUGGCCACACUGAUGUUCUGUGCCAAAUAUCAGGGAGUUGCCCCAUGUGGUUCUUGAGAAAACUGUGACAGAAAUUUUUUGUGACGACGACGACGCCAGACGACGACGCAGGACGACGCAAGACGACGGAUAGUGAUCCCUAUAUGUCGCCACUGCGUAACGCAGGUGACACAAAAACAAUGGUUUGUACCUGACUGUCUAUGCUUUUGUAGAGGUCAUGCAGUGUGCAAGGUUGGAAUCAUUCAUCAUGAACACAGGAAUCGUGUGAUGUCUAAAUGCAUGCUUCCUGUACUAGAGAUGACAGAUGUUCAUGUACUAUCAAUUUAAGUAUGCAAUCAUCAUACAGAGAAACAGAUUAUCAUUAUCAUGAUAUCAGUAAAAUCGGUGAAUCCGUCUGGAUGAUAGUAAAUUUUGGACUUACCAACGA